RNAcentral lists this transfer RNA (85 nucleotides) under Felis catus (domestic cat). It matches the Rfam family "tRNA". Rfam says of the family: Transfer RNA (tRNA) molecules are approximately 80 nucleotides in length. Their secondary structure includes four short double-helical elements and three loops (D, anti-codon, and T loops). The record is from Rfam by way of RNAcentral. Lineage: Eukaryota; Metazoa; Chordata; Mammalia; Carnivora; Felidae.
GCCUGGGUGGCUCAGUCGGUUGAGCAUCUGACUUCAGCUCAGAUCAUGAUCUCAUGGUCCGUGGUUUCGAGCCCCACGUUGGGCU